AUUCAAUACUUUAAUAUAUAUAGAAGAGGUCAUUUAUAAUCAAAGAGCACAUGUUAAUUUGAAUCUUAUUUUGACUGUUUUGAAUGUAAGGACAUUUGAAAUUCAGAUGUGUACAAGAAAGAAAAUGCUUGAACUUGAAAUAAUGGUAGCAUUUAUUAGAAAAUAUAAAGCAGUGUAUAAAAUGUACAUGUAUACACAAGGUGAUAGGAUGACCUCUGUGACAAACUCAGAGGGGUGAUAGAUCUCAGUGAUCAUUUUUUGUCAAGCAACCAAUAUCUUUUGACGUGUCGUUUAGAAUUUAUGCAUCUUCGUGUGUUUGUCUAUUUAAUGCUUACAAUGUUGAAUGAAGUGAUGACACCUUUUCUUUGUUCCUACUCUAUAUCUGUGUAUUCUAUGAUUGAGCUUACAUGAGCAAUUUAAUGUAAUUGUGAAUUAAGAAUGGACAUUUUGAUUUGCCUGAGCUCUGUGACAUGAUAAUGUGUUAGCUAGAGAAAAUGGAAGAGAAACUCUCUGUAUCUACUAGCAGUGAUUUCCUCAUAGAAAUCAUCAGCACCACACAAUGUUUGCUUGACUUCAGUGCCUUAGAGAAAUGGAAUGUCUUUGUCCUUGGCAUGUUGAUGGAGGAUAGUGUACUGUGAGGAUACUUGUGUUUGAAGAAGGUAUGCUUGAGAGAAUUGCCAACAAGCCUUUAACUAGCAUACAUGCCUAUGCUAUGGGCACAAGUCAGUGUUCUGAGUGUAGCAGGAUCAUCAUCAUCAUCUUGCAUACCACCACCAGAAAAUGCAAGGAUUUGACCAGAAUAUGCAAGGAUUAUACCUGGGUGGCAUUUUUUGGCAUCCUCUUUUCCUCCAAAAAACACACAUGUUUUAACUUUCAACACAC
This 882-nucleotide long non-coding RNA is filed under the name Androctonus crassicauda. Lineage: Eukaryota; Metazoa; Arthropoda; Arachnida; Scorpiones; Buthidae. The record is from RNAcentral.